RNAcentral lists this long non-coding RNA (3055 nucleotides) under Homo sapiens (human). Its description in RNAcentral is "HSALNT0168245". Lineage: Eukaryota; Metazoa; Chordata; Mammalia; Primates; Hominidae. The record is from RNAcentral.
CUUGAAUUGUAUCUCCCAGAAUUCCCAUGUGUUGUGGGAGGGACCCAGGGGGAGGUAAUUCAAUCAUGGGUGCUGGUCUUUCCUGUGCUAUUCUCAUGAUAGUAAAUAAGUCCCAUGAGAUCUGAUGGGUUUACCAGGGGUUUCCACUUUUUGCUUCUUCCUCAUUUUCUCUUGCUGCCACGAUGUAAGAAGUGCCUUUUGCCUCCUACCAUGAUUCUGAGGCCUCACCAGCCAUGUGGAACUGUAAGUCCAAUUAAACCUCCUCUUCUUCCAGGUCUUAGGUAUGUCUUUAUCAGCAGCAUAAAAACAGACUAAUACAUUGUUCUCGUGACAGUGAGUGAGUUCUCAUGUGAUCUGAUUUCAUAAGGGGCUUUCCACCCCCUUUGCUCUCAUUCUUUUCUUUCCUGCCACCAUGUGAAGAAGGACAUGUUUGCUUUCCCUUCCGCCAUGAUUGUAAGUUUCUUGAGGCCUCCCCAGCACUGCAGAACUGUGAGUCAAUUAAACCUCUUUCCUUUAUAAAUUACCCAGUCUCAGGUAUUUCUUCGUAACAGUGUGAUAACGAACUAAUACAGACAGCAUAACAUCAUUGUGUGGAUACACAUUAGCAAGCUUGAAGACUACAGGAAAUAAAACUGGAAAGAAGAACGGUCAUGAGGGAUACAUGUGCACAGAGAAAAGGCCGUGUGAAGACAAAAUGAAAAAGUGGCUGUCUACAAGUCAAGGAGAGAGGCCUCGGGAGAAGCUAAACCUGCUGACACUCUGACCUUGGAUUCCUAGACUCCAGAACUGUGAGAAAAUAAAUUUCUGUUGUUUAAGCCACAUGGUCUGUGUAUUAGAUUAUGGCAGUUCUAGCAGACUAAUAUACAGUUGCUCCUUGAACACAUGGGUUUGAACUGUAAGGGUCUGCUUGUGGAUUUUUUUUUUCAAUAAAAGUUACAUUGAGGGUGCCUAUAUUUCCUGCCUCUCUUUCCAUCUCCUCUACCUCUUCCACCUCUGCCAGGUCUGAGACAGCAAGACCAACCUCUCUUCUCCCUCCUCCUCAACCCACUCAAGGUAAAGAUGACUCAGAUGAAGACCUUUAUAAUGAUCCACUUCCACCUAAUGAAUAGUAUAUACAUUUUCUCUUCCUUAUCAUUUUCUUAAUGACAUUUUUGUUUCUCUAGCUUACUAUAUUGUAAGAAAGCAGUAUACAAUACAUAUAACAUACAAAAUAUGUGUUAAUCAACUACCUAUAUUAUCAUAAAGGAAGGCUAUUAGUAGUUAAGUUUUGGGGGGGUUAUCUGUGGAUUUUUUUACUGAAUAGGCAGUGGUCCUAACCCCCAUGUUGUUCAAGGAUUAACUGUAUCAGAUUAGGUGUUAAGUUCCUAAACUAGAGUCAAGGGAACCUUUUUCUAUUGAGGCUGACUGUGACAAGAAUGGAGUAUGCAGAUUCACCUAAAAAUGUUGGUGAAUAUUUUUAUAUUUGUAUUAGCAUUAGAAAUGGGACUUACAGUUUGUGAACUUUCAACAAGAUCCACAUAGAACUUAACUCCCCCAAAACUUAACUACUAAUGGCUUCUGUCGACUGGAAGCCUUGCUGAUAACACAGACAGUUAACACAGAUUUUGUAUGUUAUAUGUAUCAUAUGCUGCAUUUCUAGGGAGCGUUUGAAGCAUAAAAAGACUUCCUCUGGGGAUAAUGUGCCUAAUGACUUAACCAAAACUUGGAGAUAAGCUUGAUUCUGUCAUCUUACUGUCUAAAAUCUGCUUCCAACUCACUGUGGAAAGAUAGCUAUGGCCAGACUCAGUAGCAAUGAAUGGCUGAAUUUACUAGUUCAAUUACAAAUUGCAAGUUUCAGUUCUAAUACUAAUACAUACUUUCCACAAUAUCUUCAAGAUCUUAUUUGGCGGUCCCUCCUAGCUUCCUUAUUUUCCUCAUGUAACAAUCAGACUGACUUCAAAAAACACAUGAUAGGCUGAGAAAAAAGAGAAGUCCAAACACCUAGGUGAGAGUGCCAGACACUUAACCAGAAAUUAAAUAGGUUCUGAGUGGUAACUCUUUCAAGUAGAAUAAGCAUUAGAAAAUUUUAACAAUAGCUUUGGUAAGGCAUUAACAAGUGUUGGAAUGCUGGACGGGGAAUAGCAUUUGAAGUUUUUAAACUUAACCCUGACUCAUUUCCUUUAGUUAACUUCAACAUAGUUACCUCUGGCCUAUUCUGAGCAAAGAUGCCGACAAACUGGUCUGGUGAUGAUUUAUAACCUUUAUGCAAGAGACAGGAACCCAGGUACUCUGCUCUAUCAGACACCUACAAAAAAGAGAGAUGGGGUGAGAGAGAGAGAGAAGAGGUCAAGACCAAAAACUGACCAAUAUCGUAUCCUGUAGUUCAGAAUACUAUGUUAGAAAGAAUCUGUCUAAAAACAUGGACUCAACUUACCUGUUUGUAAGAUAGCCAUCUGUAGGGCUGGUUUGGUUUUCUAUAUCCCAAGCAGGGCCCAUUGUCUAAAAACAUAAUAUUAAAAGAAAAUCAACUCCAGUUGCAAAUUCUCUGGACCAAGGAAGCUAAAAGGAGAUUAAGAAGGGGCAAGACACAAAGGGUAAGUCCAACAAGGAUUUGAGCUUCUAUUAUAUGUCCAGGAAAUUCAAAGUCAGAAAGCACUGAGUCCUCAAAAAUGAAGAGUCCUAUAAACUAUAGUUGAAACAUUUAGGAAAUGCUACACAAAACAGGAGUGGUUCAGUGUUGAAUAUGUAACCUCCAUGAUAAUGUAGACAUUCAGAGAAAGCCAUCCAUAUGGGGUUAGCCCACAAAACAUGACCAAGUGAAAGCCUACAAGUAAACACAAACAGCCUGUAUUGAACAAUCUUGGAUUGAACUUCCCUACAAUAAAAACUAUGCUCAUAAAGAUAUAAAAAAGUUAAAAUAUGAAUCAUCAAUCUCAUCACCCAAAUACCAUUAUUAACACUGAUAUAUUAUCCCAUGGCCCUUUUGCAUAGUUUGACAGUUAUGUUCAUUCCCCAUGUAUAGAAUGAAUAUAAUACUUUGAUACCUUGCUUCCUCUCCCAAUCUGACCUAAGUAUU